This 561-nucleotide unclassified non-coding RNA is filed under the name Bradyrhizobium sp. ORS 187. RNAcentral's name for it is "partial 16S-23S ribosomal RNA intergenic spacer". The stretch from base 20 to 92 matches the Rfam family "tRNA". Lineage: Bacteria; Pseudomonadati; Pseudomonadota; Alphaproteobacteria; Hyphomicrobiales; Nitrobacteraceae. The record is from RNAcentral.
AGCAUUCGUCUUCUGGUACGGGGCCAUAGCUCAGCUGGGAGAGCGCGUGCUUUGCAAGCAUGAGGUCGUCGGUUCGAUCCCGUCUGGCUCCACCAGAUGGUUUGAUCACCAACGGCGUUACCGUCGUCCGCGAAACAUCACUUCGCACUCAUUGGUCCGGAUGGACGGUGACGUGCGUGUUUUCUGACAUCGUAAAGAGGAGAUCGAUCCGAGUUUGGAUCAAGCGAAGCAAUUCGCCUGAACCAUUCAUUAUCUCCGGGAUCAUUUCGGCGCUCGCUUUCAAUCGUGAGAUUGGAUGCGGGUUGUAAAUGAUCCCUUUUAGCGAAGCUUGACCGCCUCGCUAUCGGGCCGAUCUUACGAAGCAAGCUGGUCUUUCUAGUCAAUGUCCGGCUGCGCGAUCGCAUUCAUCGAGGAUGCGCGCCUUCAGUGGCAAUUGUGCAGACAACAUUCUGCCGAGUGUGUGGACAUUGAUAAUGAGAGCAAUCAAGUGCCUUAAGGGUGUUCGGUGGAUGCCUUGGCGCUGAGAGGCGAUGAAGGACGUGCUACGCUGCGAUAAGCCGU